Molecule: long non-coding RNA, 1879 nt
Organism: Oncorhynchus tshawytscha (Chinook salmon)
Lineage: Eukaryota; Metazoa; Chordata; Actinopteri; Salmoniformes; Salmonidae
Source: Ensembl
CCCUAACCCUAGCUUCAACCCUAACCCUAGCUUCAACCCUAACCCUAGCUUCAACCCUAACCUUAACUUCAACCCUAACCCUAACCCUAGCUUCAACCCUAACCCUGGCUUCAACCCUAACCCUAACCCUAGCUUCAACCCUAACCCUAGCUUCAACCCUAACCCUAGCUUCAACCCUAACCCUAGCUUCAACCCUAACCCUAGCGUCAACCCUAACCCUAGCUUCAACCCUAACCCUAGCUUCAACCCUAACCCUAGCUUCAACCCUAACCCUAGCUUCAACCCUAACCCUAGCGUCAACACUAACCCUAACCCUAGCGUCAACCCUAACCCUAGCUUCAACCCUAACCCUAGCUUCAACCCUAACCCUAGCUUCAACCCUAACCCUAGCUUCAACCCUAACCCUAGCGUCAACACUAACCCUAACCCUAGCGUCAACCCUAACCCUAACCCUAGCUCAACCCUCAACCCUCCUUACUUUGUUCCUUCCUUCCUUCCAUUAUUGCAGCUUUUUGACUGUCCUUGAGAAUGAGGGGCUGAUGAUCGUCUAAAUAUCCAUUUUACCAGCCAUCUCCCACAGGGUGACAUGUCAGUUCUGGAGAGCUUGACAGGGACAAGAGGGGAAUACUGAUGUGGUCAUCAAACGUCUUAUGCGACACUGCGCUAUGAUUACAGCUGUGGGGGAGUUAUUGAGACACAUGAAUGGAGCUGCAGAGCCCGUCAGGUAAAAGUAGCCCACUAAUUGAGGUCAAAUUCUUUCAUUUGUAUCUUUGUUAAAGCUGCACUAUGUAACUUUUUGGGCGACCCAACCUUAGUUACAGAACUAUCAUUCUCAAUGAAAGCAAGUCUAAGAAACGGUUGAUCUGUUCUACAGUGUGUGCACUAUAUUUCUAUGCUUCCAUUCUGAAGUUUAGUUUUCCAAUUUAUAGUGCACCUUUAAUGAUUCAUGAGGAAAGGGGGUUCAUGGGGUGAUUACCAAGCAUGAAUAUUCCCUUCUCAUCUAUUCAGUAAAGCCUUCCUCACCUUUCAAACAUGACAGUUUUGAAAAAUGAGCGUUUUGGUCAUUUUGUCAUGAUGAAUGGAGACAAAGCUUGUCAGCUUCAUCAGUUUUAGACAGAUAUGACAAAAGAGCAGGAUGGAUCCAUUUUCCCUUUGGGUGUUUUUCUGUUGAGUUUCUAUUGGAUAAGCAUGAGUGUUUAAUAUUCUCUUUGAAAAAGAAGAGAGAGUGAGUGUGAGUAAGAGAGUGAGAGAGGGAAAGAGAAUCAGAGAGUGUGUGAGAUAAAGAGAGAGCAAGAGAGGGAUAGAGAGAGUGUGUGCGCUUGAGAGAAAUUGCAUUUAUGUAACAGUUUCUUACCCCUAAUCCCAUGUAUAAAGUGGGGAUACCUGAGUCAAUUGUACAACUGAAAUGUGUCCUCUGAAUCAGAGAGGUGUGGGGAGCUGCCUUAAUCAACAUCCACAUUGUCUGGGGAACAGUGGGUUAACUGCCUUGCUCAGGGGCAGAAUGACAGCUUUUUACCUUGUCAGCUUGGGGAUUUGAUCCAACAACCUUUUGGUUACUGGCCCAAUUCUCUAGCCACUAGGCUACACCUCCAGUCAGUCACUGCCUCUGUCUCCUCUCAGAGCUUACCAGAGCUGCUUUCCUUUCUGUACAGCAGUCCCAGCCAGUCCUUCGGUCAACCACUGUUAAGUGAUACAAAUUGAGCUUCUAUCUAUCAGGUCUCUUCCAGACACUAAACAGCCUGACCAAGGGAUGUCAGACUGAUUAAUCACGGCUAAUGAAAUCAAAGAAAACCCUGCCUUGGUCACUUAUAUAAUGUGCAUGAAUGGUGAAAGUGUGUGUUCAUGUACUCUUCAUGUAUUAUAGGUGUGUGUGUGUGUG